Molecule: non-coding RNA, 256 nt
Filed under: Clostridium acetobutylicum
Lineage: Bacteria; Bacillati; Bacillota; Clostridia; Eubacteriales; Clostridiaceae
Description: T-box sequence
Rfam family: T-box leader
About the family: Uncharged tRNA acts as the effector for transcription antitermination of genes in the T-box leader family. T-boxes are found upstream of many aminoacyl-tRNA synthetase genes and some amino acid biosynthetic genes usually in Gram-positive bacteria.
Source: RNAcentral
UACAAGUCUGUGAAUAGAAGUAGUAGCUAUUAAGAAAUUGGUUAAAGCGAGUCGGGUUAGUGUGAGCCGGUACCGUAGCUUGUAGUGAAUGGAUCUAUGAGACGAUGCUGUGAAAGAGGUAUUCAGUAGUAGCAUUCGGAAAGUCUACCGUUAAAAGGACAGGAUAUCGAAAUUGUAAUUUCCGUAUCUGUAAAAGAUGAUCUAUUUAUUUACUUAGAUUAAAAUGGGUGGCACCACGGACCACUUCGUCCCAUAC